Molecule: ribosomal RNA, 494 nt
Filed under: uncultured bacterium
Lineage: Bacteria
Description: bacterial SSU rRNA
Rfam family: Bacterial small subunit ribosomal RNA
Source: RNAcentral
AUUGAACGCUGGCGGUAUGCUUAACACAUGCAAGUCGAACGGUAACAGGCCUUCGGGCGCUGACGAGUGGCGGACGGUGAGUAACGCGUAGGAAUCUGCCUCAUAGUGGGGACAACGUGGGGAAACUCACGCUAAUACCGCAUACGCCCUACGGGGAGAGCGGGGGAUCUUCGGACCUCGCGCUAUGAGAUGAGCCUGCGUUAGAUUAGCUAGUUGGUAGGUAAAGGCCUACCAAGGCGACGAUCUAUAGCUGGUCUGAGAGGACGAUCAGCCACACUGGGACUGAGACACGGCCCAGACUCCUACGGGAGGCAGCAGUGGGGAAUAUUGGACAAUGGGCGCAAGCCUGAUCCAGCAAUACCGCGUGUGUGAAGAAGGCCCUAGGGUUGUAAAGCACUUUCAAUUGGGAGGAAAACCCUGCCGGUCAAUACCCGGCAGCUUGACAUACCUUUAGAAGAAGCACCGGCUAACUCCGUGCCAGCAGCCGCGGUAAU